Non-coding RNA from Coprococcus eutactus CAG:665, 264 nucleotides. NCBI's taxonomy places the organism in Bacteria, Bacillati, Bacillota, Clostridia, Lachnospirales, Lachnospiraceae. The record is from Rfam.
CCAUGCAACCGGGGAGUUAGCGGCGCCCUGUACCUGCAAUCCGCUAUAGCAGGGGUGAUGGUCUUUCAGAGGGGUGGCUGCUGUAGGGCUGCCCUCAGUAAGUGGUGUUGAUGUUUGGGUCUCGCGCAACAGGAAUCUCUGAACCGUGUCAGGUCGGAGACGAAGCAGCACUAAGGGGAAUCUCCUGUGUGCCGUGAGGGUGCCUGGACUGAGCUAACUGCUGAGGUAACGUCUAUGGUGACGCUUCGAAGAAAGACCGCAUGG